Molecule: ribosomal RNA, 253 nt
Filed under: uncultured bacterium
Lineage: Bacteria
Description: partial 16S ribosomal RNA
Rfam family: Bacterial small subunit ribosomal RNA
Source: RNAcentral
UACAGAGGUGGCAAGCGUUGUUCGGAAUUACUGGGCGUAAAGGGCGCGUAGGCGGCCUACUAAGUCAGACGUGAAAUCCCCCGGCUUAACCUGGGAACUGCGUCUGAUACUGGAAGGCUUGAGGAUGGGAGAGGGAUGUAGAAUUCCAGGUGUAGCGGUGAAAUGCGUAGAUAUCUGGAGGAACACCGGUGGCGAAGGCGGCAUCCUGGACCGGCAUUGACGCUGAGGAGCGAAAGCCAGGGGAGCAAACGGG